RNAcentral lists this transfer RNA (72 nucleotides) under Bacteriophage sp. Its description in RNAcentral is "tRNA-Trp". It matches the Rfam family "tRNA". Rfam says of the family: Transfer RNA (tRNA) molecules are approximately 80 nucleotides in length. Their secondary structure includes four short double-helical elements and three loops (D, anti-codon, and T loops). The record is from RNAcentral.
ACACCUAUAGGUUAAUGGUUAGACUAGCGGUCUCCAAAAUCGCAGAUGGGAGUUCGAUUCUCUCUGGGUGUG